RNAcentral lists this ribosomal RNA (451 nucleotides) under uncultured bacterium. RNAcentral's name for it is "partial 16S ribosomal RNA". It matches the Rfam family "Bacterial small subunit ribosomal RNA", at positions 29 to 523 of the family's 1533-position model. The record is from RNAcentral.
AACGAACGCUGGCGGCAGGCUUAACACAUGCAAGUCGAACGGGUGUAGCAAUACAUCAGUGGCAGACGGGUGAGUAACACGUGGGAACCUUCCUAGAGGUACGGAACAACGCAGGGAAACUUGUGCUAAUACCGUAUACGCUCUUGCGAGGAAAGAUUUAUCGCCUUUAGACGGGCCCGCGUAGGAUUAGGUAGUUGGUGAGGUAACGGCUCACCAAGCCUACGAUCCUUAGCUGAUCUGAGAGGAUGAUCAGCCACACUGGAACUGAGACACGGUCCAGACUCCUACGGGAGGCAGCAGUGGGGAAUCUUGGACAAUGGGCGCAAGCCUGAUCCAGCCAUGCCGCGUGAGUGAAGAAGGCCUUCGGGUUGUAAAGCUCUUUUGUCAGGGACGAUAAUGACGGUACCUGAAGAAUAAGCCCCGGCAAACUUCGUGCCAGCAGCCGCAGUAA